CCCUACGGGGCGCAGCAGUGGGGAAUAUUGCACAAUGGGGGAAACCCUGAUGCAGCAACGCCGCGUGAGUGAAGAAGUAUUUCGGUAUGUAAAGCUCUAUCAGCAGGGAAGAAGAUGACGGUACCUGAGUAAGAAGCCCCGGCUAACUACGUGCCAGCAGCCGCGGUAAUACGUAGGGGGCAAGCGUUAUCCGGAUCUACUGGGUGUAAAGGGAGCGUAGACGGCAAUACAAGUCGGAAGUGAAAUACCCGGGCUCAACCUGGGAACUGCUUUGGAAACUGUAUGGCUGGAGUGCUGGAGAGUGA
RNAcentral lists this ribosomal RNA (305 nucleotides) under uncultured bacterium. Its description in RNAcentral is "bacterial SSU rRNA". It matches the Rfam family "Bacterial small subunit ribosomal RNA", at positions 337 to 659 of the family's 1533-position model. The record is from RNAcentral.